UACGUAGGGGGCAAGCGUUAUCCGGAAUCACUGGGCGUAAAGGGUGCGUAGGUGGCUUAUCAAGCCAGAGGUGAAAGGCAUUGGCUCAACCAAUGUAAGCCUUUGGAACUGAUAGGCUUGAGUGCAGGAGAGGUAAGUGGAAUUCCUAGUGUAGAGGUGAAAUUCGUAGAUAUUAGGAGGAACACCAGUGGCGAAGGCGACUUACUGGACUGUAACUGACACUGAGGCACGAAAGCGUGGGUAGCGAACAGG
This 252-nucleotide ribosomal RNA is filed under the name uncultured bacterium. RNAcentral describes it as "partial 16S ribosomal RNA". It matches the Rfam family "Bacterial small subunit ribosomal RNA", at positions 524 to 776 of the family's 1533-position model. The record is from RNAcentral.